AAAAGAGUUUGAAAGUCUGGAACGAUGUUGUGACACGUGGGAUUACGUUUCACUACAAACGGUGUUGCCUUAUGGCUGUUCCACCAGAUUCAGAUCGCAUCAAUUCUUCCUUUCAAUCUUUCUUCCAAAAUUGAAUAUACUUUUCUCAUCAUUAAGCGCCACUUCCCACUAUUCAAUACUCCAAUCCCUCUCAAGAUUUUGUGUUGCAGACGCUGCUUCCUUCACUAACAUCAUCAGUAACAGGUAUAUAUAAAUAAAGACGAGAAUGGCUUUCACGUUGGUGAUAUCGUUGCCCUUAAUAUUGUUCAUCUUGAUAUUGGUUUUGGCAUGUUACCUGUUGGGUAAGGCCAAGAGGAGACGACAACAAUCUGGACCACCAGCUCCACCGCAGGCCCAACCCUAAUAACCAAAGGCCCAUACAUGCUACCCAUUUCCCAUUAUUGUUGCUCCGCCUUUGUUCACUAUUAUGCACUUUGGAGUUUGAAAAGCGUUAGUGUAAUAUUAAACAUACACAUAGUUUUGUUUUUUUGGGUAACAACAUUAUCCACAUAGUUGUCUAGUUGAUGAAAAACUAAUGCCAUGGAAUCUUACUAUUCAUGGAUUAAUCUUCAAUAAAAUGUUAGUACAUUGAAAUUUGUUCCCCCACUAGUUUGGGUUUGUUAGGUGAUUUAUGACUUUUGAGAAAAAAAUUUUGUAUUAAUGAUUCGUGCAUACUAAUAUUUUCUUUU
This is a long non-coding RNA of Cajanus cajan (pigeon pea), 728 nucleotides long. RefSeq lists it as uncharacterized. The record is from RefSeq and is a predicted model, not a curated record. Lineage: Eukaryota; Viridiplantae; Streptophyta; Magnoliopsida; Fabales; Fabaceae.